This 71-nucleotide transfer RNA is filed under the name Cordylochernes scorpioides. RNAcentral's name for it is "tRNA-Thr". The record is from RNAcentral. Lineage: Eukaryota; Metazoa; Arthropoda; Arachnida; Pseudoscorpiones; Chernetidae.
GUCCAGGGAUGGGAUUCGAACCCAUAGUGUUCGCUUACCGGGCAGAUGCCAUGUCUACAGGCUACCCUGGA